This 388-nucleotide ribosomal RNA is filed under the name uncultured bacterium. Its description in RNAcentral is "bacterial SSU rRNA". It matches the Rfam family "Bacterial small subunit ribosomal RNA", at positions 28 to 417 of the family's 1533-position model. The record is from RNAcentral.
GACGAACGCUGGCGGCGUGCUUAACGCAUGCAAGUCGAGCGGUAAGGCCCUUUCGGGGGUACACGAGCGGCGAACGGGUGAGUAACACGUGGGUGACCUGCCCUCAGCUCUGGGAUAAGCCUGGGAAACCGGGUCUAAUACUGGAUAUGACUCCAUGACGCAUGUUGUGGGGUGGAAAGCCUUGUGCGGCUGAGGAUGGGCCCGCGGCCUAUCAGCUUGUUGGUGGGGUGANGGCCUACCAAGGCGACGACGGGUAGCCGGCCUGAGAGGGCGACCGGCCACACUGGGACUGAGACACGGCCCAGACUCCUACGGGAGGCAGCAGUGGGGAAUCUUGCGCAAUGGGCGAAAGCCUGACGCAGCGACGCCGCGUGAGGGAUGACGGCCU